Polypterus senegalus (gray bichir) is the source of this 695-nucleotide long non-coding RNA. RefSeq lists it as uncharacterized. The transcript is spliced from 4 exons. The record is from RefSeq and is a predicted model, not a curated record. NCBI's taxonomy places the organism in Eukaryota, Metazoa, Chordata, Cladistia, Polypteriformes, Polypteridae.
GACACAAUAUAAAAGAACGCUGGAACCUUGCCAAGCUUUGAAGACCUGUGGGAGUGGAAGCUAUAGACUCCAACGCCACCUCCGUUGUGACAGAAAAAAGCCAUUUCUACACGACCGAAUCCCCGCGGUUAGAGAUGAAAUGUGACUGGUCUUCCCUGUCAUUUUAAAGCAACGUCGAUGCUCUGGAGUUGGGGUCCUACUGAGGUUACAGCUGAGAGACCACCCUCAGCCUAUCUAUUCAGGGCAGAGGAUUAGUAUCUCUCAUGGAUCAUUAAUGUGAAGAGACCCCUGCUUUGGCUUUUGUAUAGAUAUGUGGAUUUUUUAUGAAGCCUUCCUUUGAGUUUGGGGAAAAGACUGAUAUUGAUUUAUGGGCCUCAGAGGAGACUGAAGCUAAAUUUUGAAGGCGUUACUUCAGUUAAAGCUGGAGAGCUUGAAGCAGAGAAACAGAGGACUAAAGACCUCACCUUUUGGAGAUCCACCAGGGUAACAUCCAUUCCGGCUCUCACAGAUGACUUCACUUCCAGGUUUCUUUCAACUGGUGUUACUUCCGCCCCAACAUGAUGACCUCACUUCCAGCCCAUUUCCGAUGAUCUCAUUUCUGGCUACUGAUUAUGUUGUCAUCUCCAUCACCCAUCUUCAAUGUCAUUUCCUCCUUCACUUACUGCCAUACUUCCAUAAAAGUCCCAUCAAGCCUU